GUGCUUGCUUCAGCAGCACCAAUGCUAAAAUUGGAAUGGUACAGAGAAGAUCAGCACAGACCUGCAUGAGAAUGAAACUCAAAUUGGUGAAAUGUUCCAUAUUUUA
This is a small nuclear RNA of Cynocephalus volans (Philippine flying lemur), 106 nucleotides long. NCBI's taxonomy places the organism in Eukaryota, Metazoa, Chordata, Mammalia, Dermoptera, Cynocephalidae. The record is from RefSeq and is a predicted model, not a curated record.